UGCAGUCGAACGGCAGCAUAGAGAGCUUGCUCUCUGAUGGCGAGUGGCGAACGGGUGAGUAAUAUAUCGGAACGUGCCCAGUAAUGGGGAAUAACUAACUGAAAGGUUAGCCAAUACCGCAUACGACCUACGGGUGAAAGCAGGGGAUCUUAGGACCUUGCGUUAUUGGAGCGGCCGAUAUCUGAUUAGCUUGUUGGUGGGGUAAAAGCCUACCAAGGCAACGAUCAGUAGCUGGUCUGAGAGGACGAUCAGCCACACUGGAACUGAGACACGGUCCAGACUCCUACGGGAGGCAGCAGUGGGGAAUUUUGGACAAUGGGGGAAACCCUGAUCCAGCCAUCCCGCGUGAGUGAAGAAGGCCUUCGGGUUGUAAAGCUCUUUCGAAAGUGAAGAAAACUUAUUUCGUAAUAUGUUAUAAGUAUGACGGUAACUUUAGAAGAAGCACCGGCUAACUACGUGCCAGCAGCCGCGGUAAUACGUAGGGUGCGAGCGUUAAUCGGAAUUACUGGGCGUAAAGCGUGCGCAGGCGGUUUUGUAAGUCAGAUGUGAAAUCCCCGAGCUUAACUUGGGAACUGCGUUUGAAACUACAAGACUAGAGUGUGUCAGAGGGGGGUAGAAUUCCACGUGUAGCAGUGAAAUGCGUAGAGAUGUGGAGGAAUACCAAUGGCGAAGGCAGCCCCCUGGGAUAACACUGACGCUCAUGCACGAAAGCGUGGGGAGCGAACAGGAUUAGAUACCCUGGUAGUCCACGCCCUAAACGAUGUCAACUAGUUGUUGGUGGAGUAAGAUCCAUGAGUAACGUAGCUAACGCGUGAA
This 816-nucleotide ribosomal RNA is filed under the name uncultured beta proteobacterium. RNAcentral's name for it is "bacterial SSU rRNA". It matches the Rfam family "Bacterial small subunit ribosomal RNA", at positions 56 to 863 of the family's 1533-position model. Lineage: Bacteria; Pseudomonadati; Pseudomonadota; Betaproteobacteria. The record is from RNAcentral.